This 466-nucleotide ribosomal RNA is filed under the name uncultured bacterium. RNAcentral's name for it is "partial 16S ribosomal RNA". It matches the Rfam family "Bacterial small subunit ribosomal RNA", at positions 29 to 507 of the family's 1533-position model. The record is from RNAcentral.
ACGCACGCUGGCGGCGUGCUUAACACAUGCAAGUCGAACGGAAAGGCCCUGCUUUUGUGGGGUGCUCGAGUGGCGAACGGGUGAGUAACACGUGAGUAACCUGCCCUUGACUUUGGGAUAACUUCAGGAAACUGGGGCUAAUACCGGAUAGGAGCUCCUGCUGCAUGGUGGGGGUUGGAAAGUUUCGGCGGUUGGGGAUGGACUCGCGGCUUAUCAGCUUGUUGGUGGGGUAGUGGCUUACCAAGGCUUUGACGGGUAGCCGGCCUGAGAGGGUGACCGGCCACAUUGGGACUGAGAUACGGCCCAGACUCCUACGGAGGCAGCAGUGGGGAAUAUUGCACAAUGGGCGGAAGCCUGAUGCAGCAACGCCGCGUGCGGGAUGACGGCCUUCGGGUUGUAAACCGCUUUCGCCUGUGACGAAGCGUGAGUGACGGUAAUGGGUAAAGAAGCACCGGCUAACUACGUG